This 424-nucleotide ribosomal RNA is filed under the name uncultured bacterium. RNAcentral describes it as "bacterial SSU rRNA". It matches the Rfam family "Bacterial small subunit ribosomal RNA", at positions 356 to 773 of the family's 1533-position model. The record is from RNAcentral.
AGGGAAUCUUCCACAAUGGGCGAAAGCCUGAUGGAGCAACGCCGCGUGAGUGAAGAAGGUUUUCGGAUCGUAAAACUCUGUUGUAAGGGAAGAACAAGUACAGUAGUAACUGGCUGUACCUUGACGGUACCUUAUUAGAAAGCCACGGCUAACUACGUGCCAGCAGCCGCGGUAAUACGUAGGUGGCAAGCGUUGUCCGGAAUUAUUGGGCGUAAAGCGCGCGCAGGCGGUCCUUAAGUCUGAUGUGAAAGCCCACGGCUCAACCGUGGAGGGUCAUUGGAAACUGGGGGACUUGAGUGCAGAAGAGGAAAGUGGAAUUCCAAGUGUAGCGGUGAAAUGCGUAGAGAUUUGGAGGAACACCAGUGGCGAAGGCGACGUUCUGGUCUGUAACUGACGCUGAGGCGCGAAAGCGUGGGGAGCAAAC